Molecule: small nuclear RNA, 107 nt
Filed under: Castor canadensis (American beaver)
Lineage: Eukaryota; Metazoa; Chordata; Mammalia; Rodentia; Castoridae
Source: RNAcentral
AUGUUCACUUCAGCAGCACAUAUGCUAAAAUUGGAAUGAUACAGAGAAGAUUAGCAUGGCCCCUGCACAAGGAGGACAUGCAAAUUCAUGAAGGGUUCCAUAUUUUU